AGAGUUUGAUCAUGGCUCAGAUUGAACGCUGGCGGCAUGCUUAAUACAUGCAAGUCGAACGGUAACAGAUUCUUCGGAAUGCUGACGAGUGGCGGACGGGUGAGUAAUACAUAGGAAUCUGCCCAUGUAGUGGGGGACAACUUGGGGAAACUCAAGCUAGUACCGCAUAAUUCCUACGGGAUAAAGAGGGCCACUGCUUGCAAGCUCUUGCUACUGGAUGAGCCUAUGUCGGAUUAGUUAGUUGGUAAGGUAAUGGCUUACCAAGACAGCGAUCCGUAGCUGGUUUGAGAGGAUGAUCAGCCACACUGGGACUGAGACACGGCCCAGACUCCUACGGGAGGCAGCAGUAGGGAGUAUUGGACAAUGGGCGCAAGCCUGAUCCAGCAAUGCCGCGUGUGUGAAGAAGGCCUGCGGGUUGUAAAGCACUUUCAAUUGGGAAGAAAGAUUAUGAGUUAAUACCUUAUAAUAUUGACG
Molecule: ribosomal RNA, 474 nt
Filed under: uncultured bacterium
Lineage: Bacteria
Description: bacterial SSU rRNA
Rfam family: Bacterial small subunit ribosomal RNA
Source: RNAcentral